CCCAAAACGCCGGAUCUGUGUGGACGAAACAACUAUACGAUACAAAAUGUAUGCGUAUACAGUGAAACGCGUCUCCUGUGGAUGGGGCCUUGAAGUGCAUAAGGCAGUAGCAAUGAAGAAAAAUGAAAUGAAAAUCCCAGCAAUAACUUUGCUAGGUCAAAGAUUUCCGUGGACAGCAAAUUAAUCCGUGAUUUCUUCUGAGCGCGAUUCUGACAUCCCUCCCCCUCUCCACCGGAAAAACUUGAAGAAUCACGAACGUAUAUAAGCGGCAGGUUUAUUAGGAAAAAAUAUAAACGUUU
Molecule: long non-coding RNA, 299 nt
Organism: Cyprinus carpio (common carp)
Lineage: Eukaryota; Metazoa; Chordata; Actinopteri; Cypriniformes; Cyprinidae
Exons: 2
Source: RefSeq, a predicted model, not a curated record